Molecule: long non-coding RNA, 2176 nt
Organism: Mercurialis annua (annual mercury)
Lineage: Eukaryota; Viridiplantae; Streptophyta; Magnoliopsida; Malpighiales; Euphorbiaceae
Exons: 3
Source: RefSeq, a predicted model, not a curated record
UUUGGCUUGUCUUGUAGCCCAACAAAUUUGGAUAGAAAGGAAUCUUUUUGAGAAAAUAUCUUAGGGCCAUUUUGGACCAUUUGUUUUAUAAAUAAUACAUCUUCUUCUCCAUCUUUUUUCAAGAGAGAUUUUUCUGAGAAAAACUCCUUCUAGUGAGAGAAAGCUUUUCAUGCAUUACUCCAUCUUUUAAUCACUAUAUUUCUGAGCUUCAUUCGUUGGUGUUUCUUAAACUCAAAUACCUAUUAGCUUAUAUGUUUUUGAGGGUUUUUAUACACCGAAAAGAACAAACUGUUGUUGAAAGGUUUUAUAAACGCUUAGGUGAUAAGUUUACUGGUUGUAGAGUUUCUGGAUCUUGGGAAAACCAGGGGAGGGAAAUCAGGCUGAAAAGGGUAGUUUUUAGUGCUGUAUUUUCAAGGAUUUUGUUUCUAGCCAGGAAUAGAAACUGAUAGUGGAAUACUCAAGGUGGGGAUAUCUUGGGGAGUGGAUGUAAGCGGGUGAUGAACCACUAUAAAUCUCUGUGUCAUUUAUUUUCCAGCACUUUACUUAUUCUGCCGAUUAGCUUAUACUAUGUUAGUAUUAACUUCACAUUUUUGGAAUACGUUAAAGUAAUUUUCGUUAGUGUAUUUUUUGAAAAGCUCAAUUCACCCCCCCCCCCCCCCUCUUGAGCAGCCUUGCAGGACCAACAAAUAUGUUAAUAUAGUGUUAUUCAUAUGAUAAUCAGACACUGUUUUUUUAGUAAAAAAUCAAUUUUCUCUGCAGUGUUAUGAUACGUACAUGAUAAUGCAGUGAUGAUACUCAUAUGAUAAUCAGAAGCUGUUUUUUUUUUUUGCAGAAAAUCGUUUUUAAUACAGAUUUUUAGAUUUAGAAUUGGGAAAAUUCAAGAGUAAUUUAUUUAGAUAUGAAAGUUAAAAAAAUCGUAUUAAUCACCACGAGUUGAGGAAAAUCGCUAAAAUCAAAUAUGAAAAACGGCAGAGCGACGACGGGAUGAUGGCGGAAUGACGACGGAGCGAUGAAUUAACGAUGAAGAAGAAGAGAAUAAAAAUGAAGAAGAAAUAAAGCAAAAGAAGAAGAAAAAAAUGAAGAAAAAAUGGUGGGAAAAAGAACAGAGAAGAAGAAAACUAAUGGAGAAGAAAAAAAAAAGAGAGAAAAAAAGGAAAAAAGUGACAGUUGUCACUUAUGAAUCACUAAUAAUAUAGUUAGAGUAAAAUAAUAAUAAUGAAUAGGUAUAAUUAUAAUAUAAAUAGGUGUUAGAGUAAAAAAGUAAAUAUAUUAAAAUAGUGAGAUAUUUUCUCAAUCUUUUUUCUGUUCAGGUAGGAAAUCAUAUUAUUUUCAAAAAGAGAGUAUUUUUUAUAAUUUUCUCCUUAUUUGAUGCAUAGUAGAAAGGGAAUGAAAUUCGGGUUUUUUACACAAAUCCCCUAAAAGUGCUAUGGUGUUUCACUUUUCCCUCACCAUUUUGAUUUUGGCAAAAAUCUCCCCAAAAAAAAUAAAAGUUUUCAAGAAUCCCUCAUAAACUAAAAUAGACUGAAUAAUAGAGAAAGCUGGACAAUAAUGUCCUUAUAGAAGAAACACGUGAACAACAAACAACAAUUUCUUUUCAAAUCAACUACCACAAAAUUCUCUCAUCUUCAACCUACUAACAUUGCCGCCAUUGAUGAACAUUUUUCGUCCUUCACCUGAGCUUUUUCGCCAUUGAAAGUGAGCUUUUCAUUCAUUGACAGUGAGCUUUUUCGCCAUUGACAGUGUACUUUUCAGCCAUUGAAAAUGAGCUUUUCCUUCCUUCAACUAUAAAAGAAUUAUUACAAUAGAGAUAAUCAAUUACUCAAGAACAGACGUUACGAAUACGGCAAUUCGGUUUGCUCGACCUUACAGCAAUUCGCGAAGGUACGAUUGGUGUCCAUUGAAGAGAAGCUUUUUGCAAGUAAUCUAAAUUUUGCAACGAGACUAAAGACGGAGACCCGAUGGUUGAGUUACUCAAUGGUGUUCAUACUAAAGAUGGAAACCCGGUGUUCCAAAGUAAUGAGAAAGAAGUGACUCUUUAAGAAGAUCUAGAGGUUUAUCUAAUCAUUGCAAACCCGAAUAGAAGCAACAAGAAGAUCAAUCAAUCAAUGGGAUAGAUCCUAUUUAGCUUUGUCGAAAUUGUAUCAUUUAUAGAUGGAAGUUAAAAUUGUAAGAAAUG